This 370-nucleotide long non-coding RNA is filed under the name Carica papaya (papaya). Its description in RNAcentral is "long non-coding RNA (CPAP_LNC000646)". Lineage: Eukaryota; Viridiplantae; Streptophyta; Magnoliopsida; Brassicales; Caricaceae. The record is from RNAcentral.
AAAAAUCAUGCAAAAUAAAAUUAAAUUCUCCAAAGAAAAAAUAGAUGAUCUGAUGGACUCAACGACAAAUGUUAGUUCCGAUGAAGAAGGGAAAAUAAUUUCGGAAUGUGAUGGGGAAGAAAGCCCGAUCGGAGAUACAGAGGUUUAUGAAAAUGGAAAUAAACAUAACUCUGAAUUAGUAAUUAUGAAGGGCUUAGUGAUGCAAUGGAGGUUGGAGAACAGAAUUAUAAUAUGAGCAUCGAAAUGGUGGAAGGGAAGGAAGGAGGAGGAAAAAAAGAAGAAUCGAAUGCUAACAAAGAACAUAAUUUUAAUGGGUUGGAUCUGGUCCUAUUCAAUGAGGUAUUAAAAGAGGUUCAUCCGAUCAAAUAGG